GACGAACGCUGGCGGCGUGCUUAACACAUGCAAGUCGAACGGAAAGGCCCCUUUGGGGGUACUCGAGUGGCGAACGGGUGAGUAACACGUGAGUAACCUGCCCUUGACUUCGGGAUAACUUCAGGAAACUGGGGCUAAUACCGGAUAGGAAUCCUUGCUGCAUGGUGGGGGUUGGAAAGCUUCGGCGGUUUUGGAUGGACUCGCGGCUUAUCAGCUUGUUGGUGGGGUAGUGGCUUACCAAGGCUUUGACGGGUAGCCGGCCUGAGAGGGCGACCGGCCACAUUGGGACUGAGAUACGGCCCAGACUCCUACGGGAGGCAGCAGUGGGGAAUAUAGCACAAUGGGCGGAAGCCUGAUGCAGCAACGCCGCGUGCGGGAUGACGGCCUUCGGGUUGUAAACCGCUUUCAGCAGGGGCGAAGCUUGUGGUGACGGUACCUGCAGAAGAAGCACCGGCUAACUACGUG
Molecule: ribosomal RNA, 465 nt
Filed under: uncultured bacterium
Lineage: Bacteria
Description: partial 16S ribosomal RNA
Rfam family: Bacterial small subunit ribosomal RNA
Source: RNAcentral